RNAcentral lists this ribosomal RNA (478 nucleotides) under uncultured bacterium. RNAcentral's name for it is "partial 16S ribosomal RNA". It matches the Rfam family "Bacterial small subunit ribosomal RNA", at positions 28 to 523 of the family's 1533-position model. The record is from RNAcentral.
GACGAACGCUGGCGGCGUGCUUAACACAUGCAAGUCGAGCGGUAAGGCCUUUCGGGGUACACGAGCGGCGAACGGGUGAGUAACACGUGGGUGAUCUGCCCUGCACUCUGGGAUAAGCCUGGGAAACUGGGUCUAAUACUGGAUAUGACCUCAGCAGGCAUGUGCUGGGGUGGAAAGCUUUUGUGGUGCAGGAGGGGCCCGCGGCCUAUCAGCUUGUUGGUGGGGUAAUGGCCUACCAAGGCGACGACGGGUAGCCGACCUGAGAGGGUGACCGGCCACACUGGGACUGAGACACGGCCCAGACUCCUACGGGAGGCAGCAGUGGGGAAUAUUGCACAAUGUGCGGAAGCCUGAUGCAGCGACGCCGCGUGAGGGAUGAAGGCCUUCGGGUUGUAAACCUCUUUCAGCAGGGACGAAGCGUGAGUGACGGUACCUGCAGAAGAAGCACCGGCUAACUACGUGCCAGCCGCCGCAGUAA